RNAcentral lists this ribosomal RNA (208 nucleotides) under uncultured eukaryote. RNAcentral's name for it is "partial 18S ribosomal RNA". The record is from RNAcentral.
GGUUGUUUGGAUGCGCGAGCACUCUUGUUUAACUUGAGAUGCUUGCGCCCAUUAGUCGCCCUUGUGGGGCUCGACGUUCUUGAUUAUCAAGAACACUCAAUCGAUCCCACACAUUACUGUGAACAAAAUAGAGUGUUCAUGUUAGGCCAUUAGGGUUUGAAUACCGUAGCAUGGAAUAAUAGAAUAGGACUUCCGGUUCUAUUUUAUU